UUCGUAUUCAUCUGUUUGUUAGGGAUGGUAGAAGUUAGGGUUGUAUGUGAUUAUAAGACUGGUGGAAGGGAUACGUUUUUAAUGAUGGAUGAGUUCUGCAUUCUGAUUCAUGCAGUGGUUACAAAAAUGUAUACAUGUGAUAAAAUGUCAUGUAAAUGUGCACAUUUCACCAAUGACAAUGUGCUGGUUGUGAUAUUGUACAAUGUUAAUGGAAAAUAUCACCACUGGGGAAAAUUGAGUGGUAUGUGUAAACGGUACUAUAUUUGCAGCAUUUUGUGAGUCUUUAUUUUAACAUAAUAUGUAAAUAUGUAAAGCAACUAGAAGAAUGGUUUUAAUACAGGAGAGUAACAGCUUAUAAGCAAGAGAAAGAAAAAUGAUAAAUAAUGUGAACACUUACCAAAGGAAGGGUGGAACAGAGAAAUAAAG
This 426-nucleotide long non-coding RNA is filed under the name Pan troglodytes (chimpanzee). RNAcentral's name for it is "long non-coding RNA NONPTRT018301". The record is from RNAcentral. Lineage: Eukaryota; Metazoa; Chordata; Mammalia; Primates; Hominidae.